GGGGAGAUUAGUUCAGUGGCAGAACUUCCGGUUGUGGCCCGGACGAGCAGGGUUCGAUUCCCGGUCUCCCCC
Molecule: transfer RNA, 72 nt
Filed under: Gammaproteobacteria bacterium AqS3
Lineage: Bacteria; Pseudomonadati; Pseudomonadota; Gammaproteobacteria
Description: tRNA-His
Rfam family: tRNA
About the family: Transfer RNA (tRNA) molecules are approximately 80 nucleotides in length. Their secondary structure includes four short double-helical elements and three loops (D, anti-codon, and T loops). Further hydrogen bonds mediate the characteristic L-shaped molecular structure. tRNAs have two regions of fundamental functional importance: the anti-codon, which is responsible for specific mRNA codon recognition, and the 3' end, to which the tRNAs corresponding amino acid is attached (by aminoacyl-tRNA synthetases). tRNAs cope with the degeneracy of the genetic code in two manners: having more than one tRNA (with a specific anti-codon) for a particular amino acid; and 'wobble' base-pairing, i.e. permitting non-standard base-pairing at the 3rd anti-codon position.
Source: RNAcentral